Molecule: non-coding RNA, 22 nt
Filed under: Rattus norvegicus (Norway rat)
Lineage: Eukaryota; Metazoa; Chordata; Mammalia; Rodentia; Muridae
Source: RNAcentral
AUUCCACCAUGGUGCAAGCUCA